CUGGAGCAGAAACACCUUCCAAGGAAUGGUUAUAAUUCCUACCAUCUGGUUAGCCAAGUUCCAACUGGUUCUGGUGGCUUUACAGGUGGAAAACUGAUUAACAGUAUGAACAUGGAGUUUCAGAUACUGGUCAGCAGUGUCCAGCUCAAUCCGGUUCAAACGUGGCAGAUCAAGAGUCUUAUAUGAGCUCCUCUGACCCUAAUGGUAUGUAUAUAUUUAAAGAUUCUUCUGAACCCUCAUAAUUUUUUUUUAGUAAUGCAUGUUUAUUCUUGCUCUUCUCACCACUAUAUAUUUUUUGUUUCCCGUUAUGAUUUCAUAUUGUCUUGAAGUUGCUUUUAAUGGAAUUGAAGAUUUAUCUUGUUAGGAGACGUCAUUAAACUCAUAAAACAAGCCAACCAGGUAUGAGAGAUAAUUACAGCUGGCUGGUCAACGAAAUUAAAAAUAAUCAUAUUGUGUUACCUAGAUUUCCCAAAUGUAAAUUGCUAUAAAAAAACAAAUACUUGUCUUUCAAUAUAAUUUAUACCUUAGCGGAUUUCUUUUUCUAUUGGCCAGUAUGAUAAAGAAUAUUUUCAAUAAGAGUGAAACAACAGGGAAUGUA
Molecule: long non-coding RNA, 598 nt
Organism: Thamnophis elegans (Western terrestrial garter snake)
Lineage: Eukaryota; Metazoa; Chordata; Lepidosauria; Squamata; Natricidae
Exons: 3
Source: RefSeq, a predicted model, not a curated record